GAAGUGCGAUAAGUAGUGUGAAUUGCAGAAUUCCGUGAAUCAUCGAAUCUUUGAACGCAAAUUGCACUCCCUGGCAUCCCGGGGAGUAUGCCUGUUUGAGGGUCAGUUUAAUAAAAAUCGGGGUGUCGCUCUCGUGACGCACCGGAGGUUGGGUCAUCUUAGCUUUCAGGUUAAGAGGCUUAAAAUUGAUCUUUUUGCGCGCUUUAGACGUACAUAAUUUUUUUAUUCGUUUAUAACGCCAAUUUUUUACUAGGUGCGAACACGUUGCGUGAUCUCGUGCCUAUAAUUCUCUCAUUUUUGACCUCAAAUCAGGUAGGGACACCCGCUGAACUUAA
Molecule: unclassified non-coding RNA, 335 nt
Filed under: uncultured Glomeraceae
Lineage: Eukaryota; Fungi; Glomeromycota; Glomeromycetes; Glomerales; Glomeraceae
Description: sequence contains ITS1
Rfam family: 5.8S ribosomal RNA (bases 1-105)
Source: RNAcentral